AAAUUGAAGAGUUUGAUCAUGGCUCAGAUUGAACGCUGGCGGCAGGCCUAACACAUGCAAGUCGAGCGGAAACGGCAGCAUUGAAGCUUCGGUGGAUUUGCUGGACGUCGAGCGGCGGACGGGUGAGUAACGGCUGGGAACCUGCCCUGACGCGGGGGAUAACCGUUGGAAACGACGGCUAAUACCGCAUAAU
RNAcentral lists this ribosomal RNA (193 nucleotides) under Salinivibrio kushneri. Its description in RNAcentral is "partial 16S ribosomal RNA". It matches the Rfam family "Bacterial small subunit ribosomal RNA", at positions 1 to 177 of the family's 1533-position model. Lineage: Bacteria; Pseudomonadati; Pseudomonadota; Gammaproteobacteria; Vibrionales; Vibrionaceae. The record is from RNAcentral.